Transfer RNA from Archaeoglobus fulgidus DSM 4304, 83 nucleotides. It matches the Rfam family "tRNA". Rfam says of the family: Transfer RNA (tRNA) molecules are approximately 80 nucleotides in length. Lineage: Archaea; Methanobacteriati; Methanobacteriota; Archaeoglobi; Archaeoglobales; Archaeoglobaceae. The record is from Rfam.
GCGGGGGUUGCCGAGCGGCCAAAGGCGCUGGAUUUAGGGUCCAGUCCCGUAGGGGUUCGAGGGUUCGAAUCCCUCCCCCCGCA